GGCUCAGGACGAACGCUGGCGGCGUGCUUAACACAUGCAAGUCGAACGAUGAUCCGGUGCUUGCACCGGGGAUUAGUGGCGAACGGGUGAGUAACACGUGAGUAACCUGCCCUUGACUCUGGGAUAAGCCUGGGAAACCGGGUCUAAUACCGGAUACGACCUGUCACCGCAUGGUGGUGGGUGGAAAGAUUUUUUGGUUUUGGAUGGACUCGCGGCCUAUCAGCUUGUUGGUGAGGUAAUGGCUCACCAAGGCGACGACGGGUAGCCGGCCUGAGAGGGUGACCGGCCACACUGGGACUGAGACACGGCCCAGACUCCUACGGGAGGCAGCAGUGGGGAAUAUUGCACAAUGGGCGAAAGCCUGAUGCAGCGACGCCGCGUGAGGGAUGACGGCCUUCGGGUUGUAAACCUCUUUCAGCAGGGAAGAAGC
This 430-nucleotide ribosomal RNA is filed under the name Crystallibacter crystallopoietes. Its description in RNAcentral is "bacterial SSU rRNA". It matches the Rfam family "Bacterial small subunit ribosomal RNA", at positions 21 to 451 of the family's 1533-position model. The record is from RNAcentral. Lineage: Bacteria; Bacillati; Actinomycetota; Actinomycetes; Micrococcales; Micrococcaceae.